UUAGGCUAGUGCCGCUGCAUUUCGGCGAUGAGGCUAGCUCUAUAUCUUGUUAUAUAUGGUUUUCUCUGCUUGAUUGUUUUUCGUCAGAGCAUGCUUUCUUUCUUUCUUUCUUUGACAAAACAUGUGCUUGUUUUCUAUCAAGAUUUACCAGCUGCAUUCCUAGUCCUACCAACAUUCCCAAGGAUGCCCAAUUGUCCACUCUUUCAUUUUGCAAAACUUCAUUCAAAAGAAAUCACUGCCGUCUAGCUUUGAGCAAUGCUAUCUAGCAGUAAUUAUGGACCGCUUCAUUCAAAAGAACAUUUUGUGUCUAGCUGGAGAUUUGUCGUAAAGUUUAGUUUGGGCAAUUGCUACUGAAUUAAUUAGGACUAGUAACCAACUGUUAACGAAGGAAUAUGAAAGAAGUGCAGUUCAAGUUAUACAAGUCGAAUCCAACACCUUGCAAGGAUCGCAACUUUUCUUGCCCAAAUCUUUGUCAAUUCCAUCGGGCUAAUUAACAAUCGAUGUCUUGCACGAAAGGAGGAAGAUCUGUCUAUGCAAAUUCUCCAGCCAACCGCUGCCAAUAGAUUAUUUCAAGAAUCUAAACAUGGGCCAGAACUGGGCCAUGCAAAGCCUGCUCUCCUAGCUAGGUUGGGCCGGUCUGGCUGUAAAUGAUAGGAAUAAGUUCACUUUGUGACCCUCAAAAUGAUCGAAAUUUAAUCCGUGACCCCAAACCACAGAACCGGAUAUCUCAACCCCUAACUCUCGAAACCGGUGCAAUUUGACUCCCUGGGUGGUUUUGGAUGGCGGUUUCGCUGACGUGGCGCCUACGUGACGGUUUUAACUCGGUCUUCUUUCCACGUGACGUUGACGUGGCGCUUACGUGGUAUUAGAAAUAAAAAAAUAUGUGUAGGACCCAUUUGUCAUACACACGGAAAAAAAUGUGGGAGCCCCUGUCAUGUGGAGCCCACAUAAUCCUCUCCUCCCCAUCUUCCUCCUCCCUUCUCUCCUCUCCACGGACGAUGGAGUCUGCGCCGACUUGCCGCCGGCCACCGCCUUGGCCGCCGCCACAGACGGCAUCACCAACACCCCUCUCCCGCGGGUUGUCGUCGGCCUCCCCCACCCCUCCCCGCGGAGACGUUGCCAGCGCACCCGGCGGCAGGCGGGAGGGCGGGCGCUGGAGCAGCGGCGACGACGACCCCUUCUCUCUUGCUCUCCUUCCUUCUUCAAGCGGUGUGGCGACGAGGAGCAGCCGCGGAGCAUGAUUCCUGCGGCGGAGAUGGCGAUGGCGCAGUGGAGGCCGAUCGGCCUCGAGGUAGCGCGUCGUGGCGGCCCACGGGGUGAGGCAGGCGUGGAGGACGCGGUGGACCGGGUGGAGGAAGAGGUGGAACGCAUGUGGGGGCGAGGAGGAAGCGACCGGCAUCAAUUAUCACGACGAGCUGCUUUGGGUGUUCGUCCACGCCGAUAUCGGCUACUGCUUUUCUGACUCGCGCCACCACAGCCUGCCAUAACUCCAAUCCAGCAUCCAGCCAGAUGUACAGCGGAUCUUGGCUAUCUCCGAGAUAUACAGCGGUGAUGCCUGCAUGACAAUCACCGGUGAGAUGAAUCAAGAACUGAUAUAGAAUUUCUCCAGUCUCUAUGCCACGGCUCAGAGAAAGGCACCCGCCUGCCGCCGCCGGAAUCAUGCUCCGCGGCUGCUCCUCGUCGCCACACCGCUCCUCCUCGUCGUUUCUGUUUCGCCGGAACAUCUCCGCCGCUGGCCCCCAUCCCACGGCCGCCGCUCGCCAACGGAAGAGAAAGAGAGAGGGGGAGGAUGAGGAGAGAAUGAUUUACGUGGGCCCCACAUGUCAGUGGGUCCCACCCAUACUUUUGGUGAAUGACAAAUGAGUCCCACAUAUAUUUUUUAUUUCUAACAUCA
Long non-coding RNA from Oryza sativa Japonica Group (Japanese rice), 1894 nucleotides. RefSeq lists it as uncharacterized. The record is from RefSeq and is a predicted model, not a curated record. Lineage: Eukaryota; Viridiplantae; Streptophyta; Magnoliopsida; Poales; Poaceae.